RNAcentral lists this ribosomal RNA (419 nucleotides) under Klebsiella quasipneumoniae. RNAcentral describes it as "bacterial LSU rRNA". It matches the Rfam family "Bacterial large subunit ribosomal RNA", at positions 1216 to 1636 of the family's 2925-position model. Lineage: Bacteria; Pseudomonadati; Pseudomonadota; Gammaproteobacteria; Enterobacterales; Enterobacteriaceae. The record is from RNAcentral.
AUGUGUUGUUGGGUAGGGGAGCGUUCUGUAAGCCUGCGAAGGUGACCUGUGAGGGUUGCUGGAGGUAUCAGAAGUGCGAAUGCUGACAUAAGUAACGAUAAAGCGGGUGAAAAGCCCGCUCGCCGGAAGACCAAGGGUUCCUGUCCAACGUUAAUCGGGGCAGGGUGAGUCGACCCCUAAGGCGAGGCCGAAAGGCGUAGUCGAUGGGAAACAGGUUAAUAUUCCUGUACUUGGUGUUACUGCGAAGGGGGGACGGAGAAGGCUAUGUUAGCCGGGCGACGGUUGUCCCGGUUUAAGCAUGUAGGCUGGUUAUCCAGGCAAAUCCGGAUAAUCAAGGCUGAGGUGUGAUGACGAGGCACUACGGUGCUGAAGUAACAAAUGCCCUGCUUCCAGGAAAAGCCUCUAAGCAUCAGGUAACA